Molecule: ribosomal RNA, 253 nt
Filed under: uncultured bacterium
Lineage: Bacteria
Description: partial 16S ribosomal RNA
Rfam family: Bacterial small subunit ribosomal RNA
Source: RNAcentral
UACGUAGGGGGCUAGCGUUGUCCGGAUUUAUUGGGCGUAAAGAGCGUGUAGGCGGCCAGGUAGGUCUGGUGUGAAAACUCGAGGCUUAACCUCGAGAUGUCAUCGGAAACCAUCUGGCUAGAGUCCGGAAGAGGAGAGUGGAAUUCCUGGUGUAGCGGUGAAAUGCGCAGAUAUCAGGAAGAACACCAAUGGCGAAGGCAGCCUCCUGGGCCAACACUGACGCUCAUGCACGAAAGCGUGGGGAGCAAACAGG